Small nucleolar RNA from Fukomys damarensis (Damara mole-rat), 111 nucleotides. The record is from Ensembl. Lineage: Eukaryota; Metazoa; Chordata; Mammalia; Rodentia; Bathyergidae.
AAUUAGAUUCUAAAAAUUACAUCAGCCAACUGCAUGGAGAACAACCUAGAGAGACUUUGACAGCUCAGAUCAGCCCAACAACUACAGCUGCCACUCACCUUUCCUAUAAGG